UUCGCUCGCCCUACCGCUGGCGUCGCAGAUCACCUUGUUGUUGAUCGGGCCGGGAAGUAGAAGGAUGAUCUAUCGGCAGACGAGCGCAAGGCGCUCAAGCAAAUCAUAGAGCGGUGGAGUUAAUCACCAUGAACAAGUUCUUCGACGAAUUGCUGGAAAGCGUCCAGCAGAUGGACGAGAUCCACCGCGGCGAACGCCAGCCAUCCCGAGAAUUCACCGUGGACGCCCUGCGGGCGAAGGAGAUCCGCAAGGCCACCGGACUAACCCAAGCCAAGUUCGCGGCCAUGAUUGAGGUGCCGCUCGGCACCCUACGUGAUUGGGAACAAGGCCGUCGCGAACCCACCGGCCCGGCCAAGGCGUUGCUGCGUGCGAUUCAUAAUGAUCCUAAACAUGUUAUUCAGGCGCUGUCUGGUUAGCCGC
RNAcentral lists this unclassified non-coding RNA (420 nucleotides) under Pseudomonas sp. Tc7. RNAcentral's name for it is "partial contains 16S-23S ribosomal RNA intergenic spacer and 23S ribosomal RNA". Lineage: Bacteria; Pseudomonadati; Pseudomonadota; Gammaproteobacteria; Pseudomonadales; Pseudomonadaceae. The record is from RNAcentral.